This 512-nucleotide ribosomal RNA is filed under the name uncultured bacterium. RNAcentral describes it as "partial 16S ribosomal RNA". It matches the Rfam family "Bacterial small subunit ribosomal RNA", at positions 28 to 523 of the family's 1533-position model. The record is from RNAcentral.
GAUGAACGCUGGCGGCAUGCCUAAUACAUGCAAGUCGAACGAGAGGAAGGAAAGCUUGCUUUUCUGAAUCUAGUGGCGAACGGGUGAGUAACACGUAGGUAACCUGCCCAUGUGCCCGGGAUAACUUCUGGAAACGGAUGCUAAAACCGGAUAGGUAGCAGACAAGCAUUUGACUGCUAUUAAAGUGGCUAAGGCCAUGAACAUGGAUGGACCUGCGGUGCAUUAGCUAGUUGGUGAGGUAACGGCCCACCAAGGCGACGACGCAUAGCCGGCCUGAAGGGGCGGACGGCCACAUUGGGACUGAGACACGGCCCAAACUCCUACGGGAGGCAGCAGUAGGGAAUUUUCGUCAAUGGGGGGAACCCUGAACGAGCAAUGCCGCGUGAGUGAGGAAGGUCUUCGGAUCGUAAAGCUCUGUUGUAAGAGAAAAACGACAUUCAUAGGGAAUGAUGAGUGAGUGAUGGUAUCUUACCAGAAAGUCACGGCUAACUACGUGCCAGCAGCCGCCGUAA